GAUGAACGCUAGCUACAGGCUUAACACAUGCAAGUCGAGGGGAAACGACAUCGAAAGCUUGCUUUUGAUGGGCGUCGACCGGUGCACGGGUGAGUAACGCGUAUCCAACCUGCCCAUCACUUGGGAAUAACCUUGCGAAAGUAAGACUAAUACCCAAUGAUAUCCCACGAAGGCAUCGGAAUGGGAUUAAAGAUUUAUCGGUGAUGGAUGGGGAUGCGUCUGAUUAGCUUGUUGGCGGGGUAACGGCCCACCAAGGCAACGAUCAGUAGGGGUUCUGAGAGGAAGGUCCCCCACAUUGGAACUGAGACACGGUCCAAACUCCUACGGGAGGCAGCAGUGAGGAAUAUUGGUCAAUGGGCGAGAGCCUGAACCAGCCAAGUAGCGUGCAGGAAGACGGCCCUAUGGGUUGUAAACUGCUUUUAUAAGGGAAUAAAGUGGGUCACGUGUGACUUUUUGCAUGUACCUUAUGAAUAAGGACCGGCUAAUUCCGUG
Molecule: ribosomal RNA, 492 nt
Filed under: uncultured bacterium
Lineage: Bacteria
Description: partial 16S ribosomal RNA
Rfam family: Bacterial small subunit ribosomal RNA
Source: RNAcentral